Salmo salar (Atlantic salmon) is the source of this 70-nucleotide non-coding RNA. The record is from Rfam. NCBI's taxonomy places the organism in Eukaryota, Metazoa, Chordata, Actinopteri, Salmoniformes, Salmonidae.
CCCUGUGUGGCUCAGUUGGUAGAGCAUGGUGUUUGCAACGCCAGGGUUGUGGGUUCGAUUCCCACGGGGG